RNAcentral lists this long non-coding RNA (813 nucleotides) under Gossypium barbadense (sea-island cotton). Its description in RNAcentral is "long non-coding RNA (GBAR_LNC004147)". The record is from RNAcentral. Lineage: Eukaryota; Viridiplantae; Streptophyta; Magnoliopsida; Malvales; Malvaceae.
CGAUUAUAAAGAUCCAGUUUGAUGCUGUGUUUGACUCUAGAAAUUACAGAUCGGCGACUGGGCUGGUGGUUUGGGGAAAAACGAACGAAUAUUUGGCUUCAAAAUCAUUCAUUUAUUAUGAUAUUGCUUCUCCAUUUGUAGCAGAAGCAUAUGCGAGUUUAGAAGCAGUUAAGUUAGGAAUCGAGAUAGGCUUCCAGGAGAUACAAAUACAGGGAGAUUCAUUAACAGUAGUAAAGAAAUGUCAGUUAACCACAAUCGAUUAUUCAGUUAUUGAAGCAAUUAUCAAAGAUAUUCAGGCUAAGAAAUUGAGCUUUCAGAAGAUAGAGUUCAAGCACAUUCCGAAAAUGAAGAACACGAGUGGUCACAACAUUGCGAAGACAACAUUAAAGAGAAGUGAAAGAACUUACCUGGAGGAUGGAGAGUUGAACCGCCAGAAUGGGGGGGUAACAGAACUAUGGGCAAGAAAUCCAGAUUGAAAAGAUAAGGGAAGAUUCUGAUGUACAAGUAGAUAGCAAAGAGAGCAAAUUUUGGGAAGAGCUAUCGUCAGACGGAUGGAAGUGAUGGGAUAGGUGAUUUGAAAAGACGAGAAGAUAAUGACUUCCAACCGUUGAAAGUUUGACAAAGGGUAAUUUAAGAGUCUUUUUUUUAGGCAGCUUUUUAGUAAUGGCUGUUUCAAUUUUAUUUUUUCAUUUCUUUUCUUUAAGGUUUAAUAGUUCCCUUUUAAUAUGAAGUAGGCUUGGUCUGAUUUGCUGUUGGGCUUGUUAAAACAAGCCUGAAUACUUUGUUUCUUUAAUUUUUCAAAUAAAUACCCAG